GACGAACGCUGGCGGCGCGCUUAAUACAUGCAAGUCGAACGAGAACCAGAAGGUGCUUGCACCAUCUGGGGAAAGUGGCGAACGGGUGAGUAACACAUGAGAAACCUGCCCCAAAGACUGGGAUAAGCCUUGGAAACGAGGUCUAAUACCGGAUACCUUCUUUUUAUCGCAUGAUAAAGAGAAGAAAUGCUCCGGCGCUUUGGGAUGGUCUCGUGGUCUAUCAGCUUGUUGGUGAGGUAAAAGCUCACCAAGGCAUCGACGGAUAGCUGGUCUGAGAGGAUGUCCAGCCACACUGGAACUGAGACACGGUCCAGACUCCUACGGGAGGCAGCAGUAGGGAAUCUUGCACAAUGAGGGAAACCUUGAUGCAGCGACGCCGCGUGCGGGACGAAGGCCCUAGGGUUGUAAACCGCUUUCAGUUGGGACGAAAGUGACGGUACCAACAGAAGAAGCCCCGGCCAACUAUGUG
This 469-nucleotide ribosomal RNA is filed under the name uncultured organism. RNAcentral describes it as "bacterial SSU rRNA". It matches the Rfam family "Bacterial small subunit ribosomal RNA", at positions 28 to 507 of the family's 1533-position model. The record is from RNAcentral.